UUUUCAGCAAUACCUACUAGUGGCUUCCUCAACAAAGACCUCUGAAGAAAAGAGGAUUCGUUUCUACAGAAAUGGCUGCGUUUGUUUGCGUCAUUAGGUGAUUUUACCAAAGAGCUGGGACAAUGUGGCUGUGUUAGUUGAUGAAACACUUAUACCACAAGAGCUGUGUAGCCCAAUCCUACAGACCCCAACACACCAGAACAUAAAACAAAAGGUCCUUCUAAUAAGGAAUAAGAACGUUGGAAACAGACAAUCCAUUCCUGAACAAAGGAUCCGUAAGGGUGAUGGCUACUCGAUAGCACAUAGGGCUGAAAUCAACCAUGAUAAA
Long non-coding RNA from Perca fluviatilis (European perch), 328 nucleotides. RefSeq lists it as uncharacterized. The transcript is spliced from 5 exons. The record is from RefSeq and is a predicted model, not a curated record. NCBI's taxonomy places the organism in Eukaryota, Metazoa, Chordata, Actinopteri, Perciformes, Percidae.